ACGAACGCUGGCGGCGUGCCUAACACAUGCAAGUCGAACGCGAAAGUCCUUCGGGGCGAGCAGAGUGGCGCACGGGUGAGUAACGCGUGGAUAAUCUGCCCUGGUAUCUGGGAUAACAUCUCGAAAGGUGGAAACGAUAGCUAAUACCGAAUACGUCCACAAUGUCAUGAGGCGAUGUGGAGAAAGGGGGCUUCGGCUCCCACCUUUGGAUGGGCUCGCGGCUCAUUAGCUAGUUGGUGAGGUAAUGGCUCACCAAGGCCGAGAUGAGUAGCUGGUCUGAGAGGACGAUCAGCCACACUGGGACUGAGAUACGGCCCAGACUCCUACGGGAGGCAGCAGUGGGGAAUAUUGCGCAAUGGGGGAAACCCUGACGCAGCAACGCCGCGUGGGUGACGAAGGCCCUUGGGUCGUAAAGCCCUGUCAGUAGGGAAGAAUUCCUUGGUGGUUAACCCUCAAGGGAGCUGACGGUACCCACAAAGGAAGCACCGGCUAACUCCGUGCCAGCAGCCGCGGUAAUACGGAGGGUGCAAGCGUUGUUCGGAAUUAUUGGGCGUAAAGCGCGUGUAGGCGGUCUGUUAAGUCUGGUGUGAAAGCCCUGGGCUCAACCCAGGAAGUGCAUUGGAUACUGCAGACUUUGAGUAUGGGAGAGGAAAGCGGAAUUCCGAGUGUAGGAGUGAAAUCCGUAGAUAUUCGGAGGAACACCAGUGGCGAAGGCGGCUUUCUGGACCAAUACUGACGCUGAGACGCGAAAGCGUGGGGAGCAAACAGGAUUAGAUACCCUGGUAGUCCACGCCGUAAACGAUGGGUACUAGGUGUUGCGGGUAACCACUCCUGCAGUGCCGUAGCUAACGCGAUAAGUUGACCGCCUGGGGAGUACGGUCGCAAGAUUAAAACUCAAAUGAAUUGACGGGGGCCCGCACAAGCGGUGGAGCAUGUGGUUUAAUUCGACGCAACGCGAAGAACCUUACCUGGGCUUGACAUCCUCGCACCCCUUGGAAACUUGGGGGUCAGUUCGGCUGGAUCGGUGACAGGUGCUGCAUGGCUGUCGUCAGCUCGUGUCGUGAGAUGUUGGGUUAAGUCCCGCAACGAGCGCAACCCUUGUCCUUAGUUGCCAUCAUUAAGUUGGGCACUCUAAGGAGACUGCCGGUGUUAAACCGGAGGAAGGUGGGGAUGACGUCAAGUCCUCAUGGCCCUUAUGUCCAGGGCUACACACGUGCUACAAUGGCCGGUACAAAGGGACGCAAGACCGCGAGGUGGAGCUAAUCCCAAAAAGCCGGUCUCAGUUCGGAUUGGAGUCUGCAACUCGACUCCAUGAAGCUGGAAUCGCUAGUAAUCGUGGAUCAGCAUGCCACGGUGAAUACGUUCCCGGGCCUUGUACACACCGCCCGUCACACCACGGGAGUCUGUUGUACCCGAAGUGCGUGAGCUAACCCGCAAGGGAGGCAGCGUCCUAAGGAAUGGUCGGUGACUGGGGUGA
Molecule: ribosomal RNA, 1477 nt
Filed under: uncultured prokaryote
Description: partial 16S ribosomal RNA
Rfam family: Bacterial small subunit ribosomal RNA
Source: RNAcentral